Notolabrus celidotus (New Zealand spotty) is the source of this 670-nucleotide long non-coding RNA. RefSeq lists it as uncharacterized. Lineage: Eukaryota; Metazoa; Chordata; Actinopteri; Labriformes; Labridae. The transcript has 2 exons. The record is from RefSeq and is a predicted model, not a curated record.
CUGAAAGCCAAACAAGACCAGCUGAAGCGAGAGAGGCUUCUCUGGAAAGAUGUGAUGAUGGUUGAAGAGGAGCCGGGCAAAAGGCCCAGGUACACUAUCAGUGCUCUGAAGGAAGAGCAGCAGAGGAGGCAGGAGGAGGCUGAGCUCCGUCAACUGCCACAGGUAGGAGACCCAGCCAGCCGGGAUCCCCUGACCUCUGAGCACAAGGCGACACAACAGCAGGGCAGAAGGAAGACUCUGUAUAACAACUGGGUUGGAGAGGGAAAAAAAAACAGAUAGUGCACCUGUGAAAGAAAAGCCCCACCCGAAUGACUCCACCUAUCUCCUCUUUGCUGCAAAACAAGGCCUGAAGUCUGAAGACAAGCCAAAGGCCCCUAAACCCAGCGUGCCGCGGCAGUGGCUGGACAAACUUAAAGUUGGAAGCUUGGUGGAAAAAUACCGAAGCCAUAGAGAGAGGCUGGACCAGAAAAGACAGCUCAAGGCUGAGGAGCAGCACGCUCGUUUUUCUGCCUACAAAGAGAGCCGGGCUCACCUGUUUGCUCGCCAACAUGAUUGUUACAUGGGAGGAUUUGCUCAGAAAAGAAACAGCAUCCUCGGAUCCAUGUUUUAAAUGUUCUUUUUACUUUUUUGCUUUGAUAUUCAGCACAAUAAAACAUUGUUGAAAUGAAAA